CAAAAUAUCAAGCGAUAGCGCAGGGCUCUCAAACACUUUGACGAAUAACGAUAAAUGACUGACAAGCAAUCGAUGCGUCGCUGUUAUUCAGCACAUUGAUCUGUAGAGAUUGUGUUUACGUAACGCCGGUGGCGUUGAAGUUCUCACGCGGACGCCAAACACUUUUUUUUUAGAGUUGCCAAGUAUGUGCCACUGCAGUCCAUGCUGCAGUCAUCAUGGGCUGCCACUGAUGACACCAAUGCCUGCUGGUACAGCAGCGUUUCUUUGCUGUUCCACUGCAUCCACAUGCUGCUGCCAGUCCAAACUGCUGUCAUUAUCACUGCUCCUGCCUGAUAAUGAUGCAGCCAUUGGGUCAUACGAAUAAAACAGAAAAUAUGCUUAUGCUUCUCUUGAGAAUGUUCUCACAGUAUGAAUAAAAUUGUGGGG
Long non-coding RNA from Schistocerca gregaria, 426 nucleotides. RefSeq lists it as uncharacterized. The transcript is spliced from 2 exons. The record is from RefSeq and is a predicted model, not a curated record. Lineage: Eukaryota; Metazoa; Arthropoda; Insecta; Orthoptera; Acrididae.